ACGAACGCUGGCGGCAUGCCUAACACAUGCAAGUCGAACGAGACCUUCGGGUCUAGUGGCGCACGGGUGCGUAACGCGGGGGAACCUGCCCUUAGGUUCGGAAUAACUCCCCGAAAGGGGUGCUAAUACCGGAUAAUGUCUUCGGACCAAAGAUUUAUCGCCUUUGGAUGGGCCCGCGUUGGAUUAGCUAGUUGGUAGGGUAAAAGCCUACCAAGGCGACGAUCCAUAGCUGGGCUGAGAGGAUGAUCAGCCACACUGGGACUGAGACACGGCCCAGACUCCUACGGGAGGCAGCAGUGGGGAAUAUUGGAACAUCGGCGAAAGCCUGAUCCAGCAAUGCCGCGUGAGUGAUGAAGGCCUUAGGGUUGUAAAGCUCUUUUACCCGGGAUGAUAAUGACAGUACCGGGAGAAUAAGCUCCGGCUAACUCCGUG
This 432-nucleotide ribosomal RNA is filed under the name uncultured bacterium. RNAcentral's name for it is "partial 16S ribosomal RNA". It matches the Rfam family "Bacterial small subunit ribosomal RNA", at positions 29 to 507 of the family's 1533-position model. The record is from RNAcentral.